CCUACGGGAGGCAGCAGUGGGGAAUCUUGCGCAAUGGGCGAAAGCCUGACGCAGCCAUGCCGCGUGAAUGAUGAAGGUCUUAGGAUUGUAAAAUUCUUUCACCGAGGACGAUAAUGACGGUACUCGGAGAAGAAGCCCCGGCUAACUUCGUGCCAGCAGCCGCGGUAAUACGAAGGGGGCUAGCGUUGCUCGGAAUUACUGGGCGUAAAGGGAGCGUAGGCGGAUAGUUUAGUCAGAGGUGAAAGCCCAGGGCUCAACCUUGGAAUUGCCUUUGAUACUGGCUAUCUUGAGUACGGAAGAGGUAUGUGGAACUCCGAGUGUAGAGGUGAAAUUCGUAGAUAUUCGGAAGAACACCAGUGGCGAAGGCGACAUACUGGUCCGUUACUGACGCUGAGGCUCGAAAGCGUGGGGAGCAAACAGGAUUAGAUACCCUGGUAGUCCACGCUGUAAACGAUGAGUGCUAGUUGUCGGCAUGCAUGCAUGUCGGUGACGCAGCUAACGCAUUAAGCACUCCGCCUGGGGAGUACGGUCGCAAGNUUAAAACUCAAAUGAAAUUGACGGCUGAGACGNGCGAGACGACACGAGGAGGAGG
RNAcentral lists this ribosomal RNA (592 nucleotides) under uncultured bacterium. RNAcentral describes it as "bacterial SSU rRNA". It matches the Rfam family "Bacterial small subunit ribosomal RNA", at positions 338 to 950 of the family's 1533-position model. The record is from RNAcentral.